AACGAACGCUGGCGGCAUGCCUAAUACAUGCAAGUCGAACGAGAAGUUCGGGCCUAGUGGCGCACGGGCACGUAACGCGAGGGAACAUGCCCUUAGGUUCGGAUUAACUACCCGAAAGGGGUGGUAAUACCGGAUAAUGUCAUGGGACCAAAGAUUUAUCGCCUUUGGAUGGGCCCGGGUUGGAUUAGCAAGUUGGUAGGGUAAAAGCCUACCAAGGCGCCGAUCCAUAGCUGGGCUGAGAGGAUGAUCACGCACACUGGGACUGAGACACGGCCCAGACUCCUACGGGAGGCAGCAGUGGGGAAUAUUGGACAAUGGGCGAAAGCCUGAUCCAGCAAUGCCGCGUGAGUGAUGAAGGCCUUAGGGUUGUAAGUCUCUGUUACCCGGGAUGAUAAUGACGGUACCGUGAGAAUAAGCUCCGGCUAACUCCGUG
This 433-nucleotide ribosomal RNA is filed under the name uncultured bacterium. RNAcentral's name for it is "partial 16S ribosomal RNA". It matches the Rfam family "Bacterial small subunit ribosomal RNA", at positions 29 to 507 of the family's 1533-position model. The record is from RNAcentral.